This 441-nucleotide ribosomal RNA is filed under the name Staphylococcus aureus. Its description in RNAcentral is "bacterial SSU rRNA". It matches the Rfam family "Bacterial small subunit ribosomal RNA", at positions 173 to 606 of the family's 1533-position model. Lineage: Bacteria; Bacillati; Bacillota; Bacilli; Caryophanales; Staphylococcaceae. The record is from RNAcentral.
AUUUUGAACCGCAUGGUUCAAAAGUGAAAGACGGUCUUGCUGUCACUUAUAGAUGGAUCCGCGCUGCAUUAGCUAGUUGGUAAGGUAACGGCUUACCAAGGCAACGAUGCAUAGCCGACCUGAGAGGGUGAUCGGCCACACUGGAACUGAGACACGGUCCAGACUCCUACGGGAGGCAGCAGUAGGGAAUCUUCCGCAAUGGGCGAAAGCCUGACGGAGCAACGCCGCGUGAGUGAUGAAGGUCUUCGGAUCGUAAAACUCUGUUAUUAGGGAAGAACAUAUGUGUAAGUAACUGUGCACAUCUUGACGGUACCUAAUCAGAAAGCCACGGCUAACUACGUGCCAGCAGCCGCGGUAAUACGUAGGUGGCAAGCGUUAUCCGGAAUUAUUGGGCGUAAAGCGCGCGUAGGCGGUUUUUUAAGUCUGAUGUGAAAGCCCACG